Long non-coding RNA from Orcinus orca (killer whale), 3234 nucleotides. RefSeq lists it as uncharacterized. NCBI's taxonomy places the organism in Eukaryota, Metazoa, Chordata, Mammalia, Artiodactyla, Delphinidae. The record is from RefSeq and is a predicted model, not a curated record. The transcript is spliced from 2 exons.
UGUCCUCAUUAAAAGUAGGCGCGUCCAAGCCGAGGAGCUUCCCAAAGCUGCGGAUCUCGACCCCCCUCCCACGGCAGGCUGAAACCGACCCUUAGGUACGCCCUGGGCGUUUGCUUUUUGUCGUCAUUAGUGCGUCCCAGGUGAUUUUCCUGUACAUCUAGGUGUGGGAAUCCGUGGUCUAAGGUGGAGGCUCGCCACCCUUACCGUGUGUCGUCAUCUCCUGGGGGGAUUUUUACAGUGAAGGUCGAGGACUCAUCCCUAGAAAUUCCAAUGUGGGGUUUAGCAUUGACAUUUUUAAAAAAAGGUCUUCAGGAGUUUAGAGUGUACAGGCAGAUUGAGAACCCCUGCUAGGGCAGGAUGGUCUGGUGUGGGGAAGGGGCCCUCCCACCCAGACGGAGGAGGGUCGCGGACGACCCUCACUGUGGCGCCAAGCCCUGUCCUGAGUUCUUACCUGGCCGUGGAAGGUAGACGUCCUCACCUUUAUAGGUAAAGAAACUGGGACUCAGAGAGUAAGGAAAUGGCCCAGGUAGAAUAUGGGUCUGCCUUUGUGUCUGUGGUUCCAGAGCUGAGAUGAGGAAGGCUGCUGGCACAGCCCCAGAAGGGAAGCAGGUGUGUGUGCCAGUGCUCGCACUGCUGGCCUGGCAGCCAUACUGGUCACCGGGAUCUUGAACUGCUUCACGCUGGCUGGCACGUGGCUGCUGCCUCACACACACACACACACACACACACACACACACACACAAUCCAGCCACCAAGCCUCACGCUCAGGACAUACAGGAUCUCCAGGGCACCAUCCUCCUAAAAACUCUGAUUGUUCAGGGAUCAGGCUAGUUGUUAAAUAGAUUCUGUGUCACUGCUGUUCCAAGCUGUGACCAGCUUAUGCAGGCUUAUCGCCUCACCUGUGGAUGGAAACGAGGGGAGUGUCACCAGGAGCUGCUUCCUGCCCUGCCGUCUGUUAAGUUGGCAGCCGGGGGGUUGUGAGGGGUGCCUUCCUUGAACAGGCAGCUCUGAACAUGAGCCUUUCCCUGGGCUCCCGAAGGCCUGUUCCUCAGCGAGAAGCUUGGUUGUAAACAGUUCUAGAGCGGGCGACCUCCAUCUGUCAGGAUCUAAAUUAGGGACGUCACCAAGGGCAGGCACGCACUGGAAGGCGUCUCUUCUCUGUGCCAGCGUGACUUUGGCGGUUGACACCCUCUGAGGACUCUCGAAGCCCAGCGUGUACACGGGAAUGUGUGCAAACUUCUUAGACGGCAUCUUCAUCUGCAACACAGAGAGACACUCCAGGCACCCUGGUCCCCCCGAGCAGCUGCCAACACACAAGAUGGAGCAUUGCGGCCUGUAUGUAAUCAGCACUUAACACUGACGAGGUGGUCUCUCUACAGCCAAGUGGCAGCAUGAAAAGUAAGGGCUUGAAAAUAGUGGUGGCAAAAAUCCCUGAAACAGAUGAUUGUUUCUGGGACGAGGUGUAAAGGGGUGACAUCCUUCCAAAUAUUAUCCUUUACCUCUGUGCACACCUGCGUGUAUGCAGACACCCCAAGCUGCUAUAAAAUGAGGCUUUCCAAAAACACUCAAGGAAUUUGGGGUGUCAGAAGGAGGACUUUUAGAGAAAGAGACGGGUCUCCUGGCACUGGCCUACUAACACAGAAUAUUUAAUUUUUAAAAAAAGGGACCAUUUACAAGCGUCUUUAAAAACUGCAGUUUUGGGAAGUGUAGAAGUGGAUCGCUCUGGAGGAAGGAGCUGAAGAGGUGAGUAGUGAGCAGGGAUCACCCGACAGGAGACAGCAGAGCCUCUGCCCACCCCCGGACAGGCCCGGUCGGGCCGCAGGACACCUGAGAUGUGGGCCCUCGCUCUGACCCCAGGUGGUCCUCACCUUUAUGCUGCAGGAACUGCAGACAGCUCUGGAGAGAAAAGAAGAGGGUUUGCAGUGUCAGCUGUGAGGGAUCCAGCACCCGCCCGGCACACAGGCGAGGCCAGGCUGUCACUGCCUCCCGCUUGACCCCUGGCCACGUCAGUGCUUUACUUUCAUUUUACUCCCAAAUCUUGCUUUUCUUUUUACUCAGCUCUGCACCCAAAAUACUUCUGCCCCUCCUCGCUCUUGCUGGGGAGCAUCUGGUCUGGAGUGGAGGGUACCUGACCCCUCUCUCCACAAGCACUGUCAGAGCCAGAGGGCCCUCAAGUGAGAUGCCCAUCUUUAAGCAGUGAUUAACAGUGUUUAUUUCCCAUACGUGAUUUCAAAAGUAAAUGCCUUCUUGUUGUAAAAAUUCAAACAUUAGAGAGAAUUUUAAUUUAGACACGAGUCCUCUCCUGUAAAGCCCAUCCUAGAGACGAUCCCUCCUAUCAGCAGUUUCCAUUCUCCAUAUCUAAGCAUAAAUUAACAAAAACAUACAUUUAAAGUAAAAAUACAGUAAAUGAAAUGGGGUAUCAUGUGUACUAUCGUAUAAAGAUACACCAGGGCUCUUCUCCACAUCAGUACAAAUUGUCCAAAUUCAUUUUUUAAAACAAGGGACCAUGCACUCUUGCAUGGAUGUCCCAUAAUUAAUUCGCCGUCAACAAACCUCUGUAUUAGUUUGAUUUUAUUUUACUGUGGUCAGGAAACAUACUUUGUAUGAUAUGAAUCCUUCUGCAUUUUUGAGACUUGUUUUUUGACCCAGAAUAGUCAAUUUUGGUGCACGUUCCAUGUGCACUUGAUAAGAACAUACAUCGCACUGUUCGGUCUAGUUUCUCUAAAUGUCGCUUAGAUCAAGUUGGUGGUAGUGUCAUGCAAACCUCCUAGACCCUUAGGGUUUCGUAUCUCUAACUAUAAGCAUGGAUUUAGCUAUUUUUCCUUGCAGUCUGUCAAUGUUUUGUUCCAUGUAUAUUGAAUCUCUUGCUAGGUGUGGAAAAUGUUCAGGAUUAUUUCCUCCUUUUAGUGUUAUGAAAUGAACUCCUUUAACUCUGAUAAUACUCUUUACUCCAUAGUCUACUUUGUAUCAUAUUAAUAUAUCAAGUCAAGCUUUCUUUAGACUAAUGUUGGUGUGGUGUAUCUUUCUCCACCCACCUCCCUCCAACCAGUUUGUGACUUUUAUUUAAUGUACAUGUCUAGGAAAUUCCAUGGCAGUCCAGUGGUUAGGACUCCAUGCUUGGGUUUGCAGGGGGCUUGGGUUUGAUCCCUGGUCAGGGAACUAAGAUCCUGCAAGCCGUGCAGCGUAGCCAAAAAAUAAAAUUAAAUUAAAAAUAAAUUACAUGUCUUGUAGACA